UGAGGGUUGGUUCAUCACUCAGGGACUGUCCUUCCCAAAGCCAUGCCCUUCAUCAAAGGGAAUGACCUUCCCAGACAGGGGAGGCCAGGAUUGAAUUGUAACUACUAUCCCCUGCUGCCACAUCCAAGCAAGUAAUCAAAAUCCAUUUGAGGGAAAGUAUGGGAAUAUGGGUUUCUGUUCCUCCCUCAGGCAUCAGUGCCCUGAUACUAGGCUGCCCUGUGU
Molecule: small RNA, 222 nt
Filed under: Choloepus hoffmanni (Hoffmann's two-fingered sloth)
Lineage: Eukaryota; Metazoa; Chordata; Mammalia; Pilosa; Megalonychidae
Description: 7SK RNA (ENSCHOG00000015755.1)
Source: RNAcentral